GAUGAACGCUGGCGGCGUGCCUAAUACAUGCAAGUCGAGCGAACAGACGAGGAGCUUGCUCCUCUGACGUUAGCGGCGGACGGGUGAGUAACACGUGGAUAACCUACCUAUAAGACUGGGAUAACUUCGGGAAACCGGAGCUAAUACCGGAUAAUAUAUUGAACCGCAUGGUUCAAUAGUGAAAGACGGUUUUGCUGUCACUUAUAGAUGGAUCCGCGCCGCAUUAGCUAGUUGGUAAGGUAACGGCUUACCAAGGCGACGAUGCGUAGCCGACCUGAGAGGGUGAUCGGCCACACUGGAACUGAGACACGGUCCAGACUCCUACGGGAGGCAGCAGUAGGGAAGCUUCCGCAAUGGGCGAAAGCCUGACGGAGCAACGCCGCGUGAGUGAUGAAGGUCUUCGGAUCGUAAAACUCUGUUAUUAGGGAAGAACAAAUGUGUAAGUAACUAUGCACGUCUUGACGGUACCUAAUCAGAAAGCCACGGCUAACUACGG
This 496-nucleotide ribosomal RNA is filed under the name uncultured bacterium. RNAcentral's name for it is "partial 16S ribosomal RNA". It matches the Rfam family "Bacterial small subunit ribosomal RNA", at positions 28 to 506 of the family's 1533-position model. The record is from RNAcentral.